This 254-nucleotide ribosomal RNA is filed under the name uncultured bacterium. RNAcentral's name for it is "partial 16S ribosomal RNA". It matches the Rfam family "Bacterial small subunit ribosomal RNA", at positions 524 to 776 of the family's 1533-position model. The record is from RNAcentral.
UACGAAGGGGGCUAGCGUUGUUCGGAAUUACUGGGCGUAAAGCGCGCGCAGGCGGCUCUUCAAGUCAGGGGUGAAAGCCCAGAGCUCAACUCCGGAACUGCCAUUGAAACUGUUGGACUUGAGUACGAGAGAGGUGAGUGGAAUUCCCAGUGUAGAGGUGAAAUUCGUAGAUAUUGGGAAGAACACCGGUGGCGAAGGCGGGUCUCUGGGGCAGUAACUGACGCUGAGGAGCGAAAGCGUGGGGAGCGAACAGG